UUAAUUAUUAUCUUUAAGGUUCAGAAGACAAAUUUCUAAUGGGUUUGAGAAAACUUCUGCCGGCCAAAGCCGGCAAAGAAACAAAUUAAUUAAGUCAAGGGUUGAAGUUUGGGCGCUGGAUCAGCACCCUAAACUAGUAAUGAUCCUUCCGCAGGUUCACCUACGGAACGUUGAUUUUUAACUAACUCUAGUUAAGACCGGUCAUAUCUUGACCAAAGAUUUGGUUACCACUAUCUGAUCUGUGAGCCUAGAAGGCUGCUGAUUCAAUAGUCUCAGCAUUUGAGUGGCAUUGCUUGCAGAAGGCAAACUGCGCAUUUCUUUACAGUCGCUGCUAAAGGCUUCAAUAGGGGAGAAGGAAA
This 359-nucleotide unclassified non-coding RNA is filed under the name uncultured fungus. RNAcentral describes it as "sequence contains ITS1". The record is from RNAcentral. Lineage: Eukaryota; Fungi.